This 329-nucleotide long non-coding RNA is filed under the name Rattus norvegicus (Norway rat). RNAcentral's name for it is "long non-coding RNA NONRATT015141". Lineage: Eukaryota; Metazoa; Chordata; Mammalia; Rodentia; Muridae. The record is from RNAcentral.
UCAGGGGAAGUGAGAGCACAGUUGGAUGGUUUUCAUUUGACCAAUAAGGAAACCUGCAGCGGUAAUUUGUUAAUCAGCCCUAAGCUCACCGAAUGAUUCUCCAAACCUCCUCCUUCCCAUGGUCCCUGGAUCAGGAAAUCUGAAGUACUCCCCUGUCUCCCUGCCAGCCGUUGGCCACUGACAACUUUAUUUACCAAUAAAAUCAACUGGGGGCAGCGAUCCUCAGCGUCUUACAGGCAAUAGCAUUAGAACCAAUCUACAACAGAGGCCUGGCUCAAUUUUGUAGGUAAUAGAGCUUAUACAUUUUGUGAGGUCGUUCUAUGUGAAAA